CACCGCGGUUAUACGAGGGGCCUAGACCGAUGUUCAACGGCGUAAAGCGUGAUUAAAGAUAACCCUAAACUAAAGAAGAACGCCCCCUAAGCUGUUAUACGCUAAUGGAAAGGCUGAAGACCCACAACGAAAGUGCCUUUAAAAAGCUUGAACUCACGAAUAUUAAGGAA
This 170-nucleotide ribosomal RNA is filed under the name Apterichtus australis. Its description in RNAcentral is "partial small subunit ribosomal RNA". Lineage: Eukaryota; Metazoa; Chordata; Actinopteri; Anguilliformes; Ophichthidae. The record is from RNAcentral.